GUGGGGAAUUGUUCGCAAUGGGCGCAAGCCUGACGACGCAACGCCGCGUGGAGGAUGAAGAUCUUCGGGUCGUAAACUCCUGUCGAAUGGGAAGAAUGUUUCGCGGAUGAAUAAGCCGCGGAAGUGACGGUACCAUUAAAGGAAGCCCCGGCUAACUCCGUGCCAGCAGCCGCGGUAAUACGGGGGGGGCAAGCGUUGUUCGGAAUUACUGGGCGUAAAGGGCUCGUAGGUGGCCAACUAAGUCAGACGUGAAAUCCCCAGGCUUAACCUGGGAACUGCGUCUGAUACUGGAUGGCUUGAAUUCGGGAGAGGGAUGCAGAAUUCCAGGUGUAGCGGUGAAAUGCGUAGAUAUCUGGAGGAAUACCGGUGGCGAAGGCGGCAUCCUGGACCGAGAUUGACACUGAUGAGCGAAAGCUAGGGGAGCAAACGGGAUUAGAAACCCGGGUAGUCC
Molecule: ribosomal RNA, 451 nt
Filed under: uncultured bacterium
Lineage: Bacteria
Description: bacterial SSU rRNA
Rfam family: Bacterial small subunit ribosomal RNA
Source: RNAcentral